This 381-nucleotide ribosomal RNA is filed under the name uncultured bacterium. Its description in RNAcentral is "bacterial SSU rRNA". It matches the Rfam family "Bacterial small subunit ribosomal RNA", at positions 432 to 805 of the family's 1533-position model. The record is from RNAcentral.
ACUUUCAGUGGUGAGGAAGGAAAGAUGUUUAAUAAGCGUCGCAAUUGACGUUACCCGCAGAAGAAGCCCCGGCUAACUCCGUGCCAGCAGCCGCGGUAAUACGGAGGGGGCAAGCGUUAUUCGGAAUUACUGGGCGUAAAGGGCACGCAGGCGGUUUGUUAAGUCGGAUGUGAAAUCCCCGGGCUCAACCUGGGAACUGCAUUUGAAACUGGCAGGCUUGAGUCUAGUAGAGGGGGGUAGAAUUCCAGGUGUAGCGGUGAAAUGCGUAGAGAUUUGGAGGAAUACCGGUGGCGAAGGCGGCCCCCUGGACGAAGACUGACGCUCAGGUGCGAAAGCGUGGGGAGCAAACAGGAUUAGAUACCCUGGUAGUCCACGCCGUAA